ACUCGAGUGGCGAACGGGUGGGUAACACGUGGGUGAUCUGCCCUGCACUUCGGGAUAAGCUUGGGAAACUGGGUCUAAUACCGGAUAGGAGCCAUCUUUAGUGUGGUGGUUGGAAAGUUUUUUCGGUGUAGGAUGAGCUCGCGGCCUAUCAGCUUGUUGGUGGGGUAAUGGCCUACCAAGGCGGCGACGGGUAGCCGGCCUGAGAGGGUGUACGGCCACAUUGGGACUGAGAUACGGCCCAG
RNAcentral lists this ribosomal RNA (242 nucleotides) under uncultured Actinomycetales bacterium. RNAcentral describes it as "partial 16S ribosomal RNA". It matches the Rfam family "Bacterial small subunit ribosomal RNA", at positions 89 to 334 of the family's 1533-position model. Lineage: Bacteria; Bacillati; Actinomycetota; Actinomycetes; Actinomycetales. The record is from RNAcentral.